This 510-nucleotide ribosomal RNA is filed under the name uncultured bacterium. RNAcentral's name for it is "partial 16S ribosomal RNA". It matches the Rfam family "Bacterial small subunit ribosomal RNA", at positions 28 to 507 of the family's 1533-position model. The record is from RNAcentral.
GACGAACGCUGGCGGCGUGCUUAACACAUGCAAGUCGAACGAAGAGCGAUGGAAGCUUGCUUCUAUCAAUCUUAGUGGCGAACGGGUGAGUAACGCGUAAUCAACCUGCCCUUCAGAGGGGGACAACAGUUGGAAACGACUGCUAAUACCGCAUACGAUCUAAUCUCGGCAUCGAGGAUAGAUGAAAGGUGGCCUCUACAUGUAAGCUAUCGCUGAAGGAGGGGAUUGCGUCUGAUUAGCUAGUUGGAGGGGUAACGGCCCACCAAGGCGAUGAUCAGUAGCCGGUCUGAGAGGAUGAACGGCCACAUUGGGACUGAGACACGGCCCAGACUCCUACGGGAGGCAGCAGUGGGGAAUCUUCCGCAAUGGACGAAAGUCUGACGGAGCAACGCCGCGGGAGUGAUGACGGCCGUCGGGUUGUAAAGCUCUGUUAAUCGGGACGAAAGGCCUUCUUGCGAAUAGUGAGAAGGAUUGACGGUACCGGAAUAGAAAGCCACGGCUAACUACGUG